AGGGCUGUAACUCAGUGGCAGAGAAUCUGCUCUGAAUGCAGAAGGUUCCAGGUUCAACCCCUUGUCUGAAGAGGCUCUG
Molecule: non-coding RNA, 79 nt
Organism: Podarcis lilfordi (Lilford's wall lizard)
Lineage: Eukaryota; Metazoa; Chordata; Lepidosauria; Squamata; Lacertidae
Source: the annotation of a GenBank genome assembly